GUAGGCAGUUAUUCCGCUGGGAUAGCGCGGCCGGAGCGCGGCGGCAUGGCCGGGGUCCCGAUCUGCGCCCUCCUCCCGCUCCUCGUCGGCGUCUGCGGCGCCGUCACCGGCUCACGGGUCUAUCCCGCCAACGAAGUUACCUUGCUGGAUUCCAGAUCAGUUCAGGGAGAACUGGGGUGGAUAGCAAGUCCCCUGGAAGGAGGGUGGGAGGAAGUGAGCAUCAUGGAUGAGAAGAACACUCCGAUCCGCACCUAUCAAGUCUGCAACGUGAUGGAGCCCAGUCAGAAUAAUUGGUUACGAACUGAUUGGAUUCCCCGUGAGGGGGCUCAGAGGGUUUAUAUUGAAAUCAAGUUCACGUUAAGAGACUGCAACAGCCUGCCAGGUGUCAUGGGAACUUGCAAAGAGACUUUCAACCUUUAUUACUACGAAUCAAACAAUGAUAAAGAGCGUUUUAUUCGCGAGAGCCAGUUUGCCAAGAUAGACACCAUUGCUGCUGAUGAGAGCUUCACCCAGGUGGACAUUGGUGACAGGAUCAUGAAGCUGAAUACAGAGAUCCGGGAUGUGGGGCCGCUCAGCAAGAAGGGGUUUUAUUUGGCUUUUCAGGACGUCGGUGCCUGCAUUGCUUUGGUCUCUGUGCGUGUGUUCUAUAAGAAGUGCCCGCUGACGGUUCGGAACCUGGCGCAGUUUCCAGACACCAUCACUGGGGCUGACACCUCCUCGCUGGUGGAGGUUCGCGGCUCCUGUGUCAACAACUCGGAAGAGAAGGAUGUGCCAAAAAUGUACUGUGGGGCAGAUGGUGAAUGGCUGGUGCCCAUUGGCAACUGCUUGUGCAAUGCUGGCUACGAGGAGCGCAACGGAGAAUGCCAAGCUUGCAAAAUCGGAUACUACAAGGCUCUCUCGACAGAUUUUGCCUGUGCCAAAUGCCCGCCUCACAGCUACUCCAUCUGGGAAGGCUCCACGUCCUGCACCUGCGACCGGGGCUUUUUCCGAGCGGAAAAUGACGCUGCCUCCAUGCCCUGCACUCGCCCUCCAUCUGCCCCCCAGCACCUGAUUUCCAACGUCAAUGAGACCUCUGUGAACCUGGAGUGGAGCCCCCCGCAGAACAGAGGUGGCCGGGAGGACAUCUCCUACAACGUGGUGUGCAAGCGGUGCGGGGCCGGCGAGCUCAGCCGCUGCCGCUCCUGUGGCAGUGGGGUGCACUUCAGCCCCCAGCAGAACGGCCUGAAAACCACCAAAGUCUCCAUCACUGACCUCCUGGCACACACCAACUACACCUUUGAGGUCUGGGCGGUGAACGGAGUGUCCAAGCAAAACCCCAGCCAGGACCAGGCCGUGUCAGUCACUGUCACAACUAACCAAGCAGCUCCAUCCCCGAUUGCAUUGAUCCAGGCUAAGGAAAUAACAAGGCACAGCGUUGCCUUGGCUUGGCUGGAGCCUGACAGGCCAAAUGGAGUCAUCCUGGAGUAUGAGGUCAAAUACUAUGAAAAGGACCAGAACGAGCGCAGCUACCGCAUCGUGAAAACGGCCUCCAGGAACACCGACAUCAAAGGCCUCAACCCCCUGACCUCCUACGUGUUCCACGUGCGGGCCAGGACAGCAGCAGGCUAUGGAGACUUCAGUGGGCCCUUCGAGUUCACCACUAACACAGUUCCUUCCCCCAUCAUUGGCGAUGGUACCAAUCCCACAGUGCUUCUUGUUUCAGUGGCUGGCAGUGUUGUUCUUGUGGUCAUUCUCAUUGCAGCCUUUGUCAUCAGCAGGAGGCGCAGUAAGUACAGCAAGGCAAAGCAAGAGGCAGAUGAGGAGAAACACCUGAACCAAGGUGUUAGAACAUAUGUGGAUCCUUUUACAUAUGAGGAUCCAAACCAAGCUGUGAGGGAAUUUGCCAAAGAAAUUGAUGCCUCCUGCAUAAAGAUUGAAAAAGUUAUUGGUGUGGGGGAGUUUGGUGAAGUGUGCAGUGGACGUCUCAAAGUGCCAGGAAAAAGAGAGAUCUGUGUUGCUAUCAAGACUCUAAAAGCUGGUUACACUGAUAAACAAAGGAGAGACUUUCUGAGUGAGGCCAGUAUCAUGGGACAGUUUGACCACCCCAAUAUCAUCCACUUGGAAGGUGUAGUUACUAAAUGUAAACCAGUAAUGAUCAUAACUGAGUACAUGGAGAAUGGUUCCUUGGAUGCCUUCCUCAGGAAGAAUGAUGGCAGAUUCACAGUCAUCCAGCUGGUGGGGAUGCUCCGUGGCAUUGGCUCAGGGAUGAAGUACCUGUCUGACAUGAGCUACGUGCACCGGGACCUCGCCGCUCGCAACAUUCUGGUCAACAGCAACCUGGUCUGCAAAGUGUCUGACUUUGGCAUGUCCCGGGUCCUGGAGGAUGACCCUGAGGCAGCUUACACCACACGGGGUGGCAAGAUCCCCAUCAGGUGGACAGCUCCCGAGGCCAUCGCCUACCGCAAAUUCACCUCGGCCAGCGACGUCUGGAGCUACGGCAUCGUCAUGUGGGAGGUGAUGUCCUACGGGGAGAGACCCUACUGGGACAUGUCCAAUCAAGAUGUGAUUAAAGCCAUCGAGGAAGGGUACCGGCUGCCCCCACCCAUGGACUGCCCCAUCGCCCUCCACCAGCUGAUGCUGGACUGCUGGCAGAAGGAGCGCAGCGACCGGCCCAAGUUUGGGCAGAUCGUCAACAUGCUGGACAAGCUGAUCCGCAACCCCAACAGCCUGAAGAGGACAGGCAGCGAGAGCUCCAGACCUAGCACAGCCCUGCUGGAUCCCAGCUCCCCCGAGUUCUCGGCGGUUGUUUCUGUCAGUGACUGGCUCCAAGCCAUGAAAAUGGAGCGAUACAAGGAUAACUUCACAGCUGCUGGCUAUACCACCCUAGAGGCUGUGGUGCAUAUGAACCAGGAGGACCUGGCCAGGAUUGGGAUCACGGCCCUGGCACACCAGAACAAGAUCCUGAGCAGCGUCCAAGCGAUGCGCACCCAAAUGCAACAGAUGCACGGCAGGAUGGUUCCCGUCUGAGCCAGCACUGAAUAAACUCAAAACUCUUGAAAUUAGUUUACCUCAUCCAUGCACUUUAAUUGAAGAACUGCACUUUUUUUACUUCGUCUCCUCGCCCGUCGAAAUAAGGAUCUGCAGCAUUGCUUGAUGUACAGAUUGUGGAACCCAAGCGUGUGUGUUGGGAGGGGGGCCUCCAGAAAUGACAAGCCGUCAUUUGAAACCAGACCUGGAACAAAUUGUUUCUUGGAACAUACUUCUCUGUUGAUCAAUGAUAUGUAAAAUACAUGUAUCUAUAUAAAUAUAAAGUCACAUUCAAGUUUUGAUGAUAUGUUUGCUGCCAGAUACUGUGCUUAAGAAACAACAGCAUUACUUUCCUUCUCCCCGUGACCUGUAGGAUUACAACCAUAGUGUUUUAUUUGUGGGUGAAACCACCGUUGUGUAUCUUUCACUGGAAUGAAGAACCUGCCCUAGGAUAUUCUUUGCAGUCUUGAUGCAUCACUGACACCUUGCAGAAACCUCAGUGAGAAUAUCGUGUGGCUAAUCAGUGCCUGCCAAUUAGUGAUCUACCUGUUUAUGGGCUUGAGACAUGAAGUGUCCCACCUUGUGGAUUACUGGGCAAAACUGGACUUCUGGGGAGGUUCUUGGCUGUUGUGUCGUGCUGAAGCCUACCAUUGAAAGACUUUUGUGACCAUCUUGCCAGUAGUCAGCUGUGACAAUCGUGGCUGUGGAGCUUUCAGACUUUUCUCUUUCAAGAAACUCGCUCCCUUUGCCUCACGGAAGGUCAGUGGAAUACAGUGUCCAACGUGUUCAUGGUGCUUUAUUUUGUGAGCUGUGCUAGGAUUUCGUCGCUGUUGGGGGAAAAUAAAAGCUGCUGUGGGAAACGGAUUUUGCUUUCACAGCCUCGUAGCCCGUCCUGUUGAUCACAUUGACCAUGGAGGAACACAGACUAGACAUGAAGCCUCUGGACCCACGGUUGCGUCUUCCAUAGCACUGAUUCUGGAAAAGACAUUUUGAACAGUCAUUGGUCCCUGAAGAGAGUGUGACUUUUACUUUCUCUUUUUUUUGUUUCCUGGGCCACCCACUCCGUUGUUUUUCUCCACUGAGCGAUAACUAACUCGUUAAGACUCAGCACCCAGUUGUCACUUGAGGAAUGUACUGUGUCAAAUCCCUGCAGACUUCUGGAUUUUGUUUUUCAUCCUCUUCUGCUUUCUCUGCUUAGCUUUGGUUUUAUUUAUAUAUUUUGUUGUUGUCUCUCCUCAUUCCCCUGGCUGUCACCGCUGCAUCCCGGACGAAUGAAGGUGACAGAGCACUACACAUCGUACCAUGGACGCCAGGCCAGGUGCCACAGCAAAGAACCCAGUUCCUGUGAGCUGCCUGUGUGCAUUGCUGAGUGACAUUUUACACUAAAGGUGCCAUUGCAGUGAUAUAAAUAUAUUUUUUUCCUUGAAUGGAUAAGGAUCAUUAUGUCCUCCGAAAGGUGCGUACGUGUGCUUGUGUACGUGUGUUGGCGUGCAGGUCACCUCGUGUGUACAACUGCCUGUGAGUGUGCCCCAAACACCUCUGGAAGCACAGGAGUCCCCUGUCCUAUGAGACCAGGCCAAUAGCUCAAGUCUGAAAUGAUAGCAAGAACACACACAUUAAAAAGUGUUGAAAUUUCUGUAUCUGUAAGUGUAUUUUUUAGCUGCCACACUAAUGUUGUUGAGUAAUUCUGCAGCCUGAAACCGGUGAUUUUGAGUUAGUUCUGGAGUAAUGGAUUGCAGGAUCUAAAAGGGUGCUAAAGGUUUUUUGUUAAGUGUUUUUUAUUCGUACUAGUGCCCUGCUCAUGACCAAGAACAACCAGUUUCUCAGUGGCAAGGUGGUGGAGAAAACAGCAGCAUCUCCAUCCACUGGUAAUCCUGAGCUGAAUUCUUACGUAGCCUUUUUUAUCUGCAAAAAUAGGAUUUUAAAGACUUGUUGAAUGCUAACAAAUAUAUGCAGUUCUUCCAUUGACAGAAGCACCUUGCUCUGUGUGCAACAUAAUAAUCAGAACACUUCCCUUGUUCCCAGCACAGAUAAGGAACAAAAAUGCAACAAGACCUGUGAAGUUACAGUUAGCAAGAGUUGUGAAGUGUGUCCUGUUCCUUGUGCAGCUGAAGUGCAGGAGAAGACACUCUUUCUUCCAUGGCCCAGGGAGCAGAGCUGCAGCGUACUGAUACCACCUAGGAGGGCUUUCUGUGUUUGGAGAGUUCACCCUAGUGUAGUGUGAGGCAGCUGGGGUGGAGCUGAGUGCCUGCACCCAGGGGAUGCAGGGCCACCAGCACAGGGCAGGGGACACAUGGCAGGUGGCAAUGUGCCCCAGGUGCUCCCAGGUGCUCUCCUGGUGCUCUCCAGGUGCUCCCCAGUGCUCUCCUGGUGCUCCCAGGUGCUGUUCCCUGCCCUAGGACAGGGGCUUGCUCCGGCACAGGUGGAUGCACAGCCCUGCCCACAGCUGUGCCAAGGUGUCCCGAGGUUGCUCCUGUUUUCCUUUCCCUCCUCGCUGACCCUGUGGUCAGUCCCUGGUUGGGAAGAGGAGUGGCAGGGAGGCCAGGGGAGCUGUGCUGGGGCUCAGGCUGGCACAGCAGGGCUGUGCCCUGCAGGGCUGGCCACGGGCUGGGCCAGACGGAGCUGCAGACACAGGAGGAAGGCGAGUGCCAUGGCACUGCUGCCCUCGGGGACGGGCCACCGCCGCCUUGGCCCCCACGACGAGUGUGUUCAGUUGUCCUGCUCACACACCAAUGGUUGAUGUUUGUCCGGGUUUCUUGCUGUGCUAAUUUUGUGAUGGAUCUUAUGUAUUAAAAAUAUAUAUGUAUAAAAAUACAAAAUACAAAAAAAAAAAAAAAAGCUGGUAAGUAACCAGUAAACAGGACUUAAAAAGCAGUAUUUUUCUUUUAUGUGACAUUUUCAUAACCAGAAAAAAAGAAAAAAUCUGAAAUACUAAUCAGACAAAUAAAAAGAGAGUGCAUUUAUUUUUUUGUAUCACUGCAAGUAUGUUGGAAUAUGCAAGGACUGUGGUUAAAAUUAGAAUGUAUGAGGCAUAUUAUAAUUUAGUUCAUACUGAAAAAAUCUAACAGCAUUUCUUGGUUUGUGCAUUUGAACGAUCUCUGGGUUAGAUAUAUAGAUUUUUCUAUUUUGUUUUAAUUUGUAAUUUUUUUCUCCCUCCGUGAAUUUUAGGUACACAUAACUUAUGUCAUUUAUUUAUGGUCUUUUAUACCUAGUUUGUAAAAUUGUAAAAUAGCAAACAAUGCAAACAUUUGCAUUUGAAAAUAAUAAAGUAGUUGCUGUACAAACCUGAAA
Molecule: RNA transcript, 6297 nt
Organism: Parus major (Great Tit)
Lineage: Eukaryota; Metazoa; Chordata; Aves; Passeriformes; Paridae
Gene: EPHA4
Gene name: EPH receptor A4
Exons: 18
Source: RefSeq, a predicted model, not a curated record